UCCCAGAGAUGGCUUGGUGCUCGAAAGAGAGCCGUAACACAAGUGCUGCAUGGCUGUCGUCAGCUCGUGUCGUGAGAUGUUGGGUUAAGUCCCGCAACGAGCGCAACCCUUGUCAUUAAUUGCCAUCAUUUAGUUGGGCACUUUAAUGAGACUGCCGGUGACAAACCGGAGGAAGGUGGGGAUGACGUCAAGUCCUCAUGGCCCUUAUGGGUAGGGCUUCACACGUAAUACAAUGGUCGGUACAGAGGGUAGCCAACCCGCGAGGGGGAGCCAAUCCCAGAAAACCGAUCGUAGUCCGGAUUGCAGUCUGCAACUCGACUGCAUGAAGUCGGAAUCGCUAGUAAUCGCGGAUCAGCAUGUCGCGGUGAAUACGUUCCCGGGCCUUGUACACACCGCCCGUCACACCAUGGGAGUGGGUUCCACCAGAAGUAGUUAGCCUAACCGCAAGGAGGGCGAUUACCACGGUGAGAUUCAUGACUGGGGUGAAGUCGUAACAAGGUAGCCG
RNAcentral lists this ribosomal RNA (505 nucleotides) under uncultured bacterium. Its description in RNAcentral is "bacterial SSU rRNA". It matches the Rfam family "Bacterial small subunit ribosomal RNA", at positions 998 to 1502 of the family's 1533-position model. The record is from RNAcentral.